UAAAAAUGAAAUUGAAAGAUAUUAUAAUUAGUACUUCUAACUAAAAUAACUGUUAGGGUGCGUUUGGUUCGCGCUAUCUUUUAAAGAUUCCUAGUAAUCCAAUGAAAAUAAAAAAAUAUGACGGUGUUUGGCUAUACGCACUAAGUAAUCUAGUUGAUAAUAUUGAAUUUAUUUGGGAAUAAGAUUCACCCCAAAGUACUAAUCUCAUUUCCUUGAGGGAGGGUGGGUAUCCUCAUAUUAAUGGAUUGGGGUAAUCAUAAUAUGUCUAAUCUCUUUCUUUCUUCCUACCCACCGGUUAAUUGAUAUUAUUUUUCUUUACACUCUAACCUUAUAUUUCUCUCUAAACUUAUUUUUCUCUCUAAAAUUCAACUUUUUUUCCUCUCUAAACUAAGCUUUUUCUCUCUCUCUCUUUCUAAAAUUUCAACUCUCUCACUCCCUCUAAUUUCGACUAUAUUUUUCUUUUUAUUUUUUCAAUUAUGCUCUCCCUCUCUAACUUAUACUCUCUCUCCCUUUUUUCUAAAAAGAUAUUGAAACUUUUGGUAACAUUAUAUAAAAUUCAUUAAAUAAAUAAAUAAAUAAAUUGUAUAUUUAUUGUAAUAUUAAAUAAUAUGGCUAAUUAAUAUUAUCGUGUGAACCAAAUACAAAAAUUUCACAUUCUUAGUAAUAGAAUGAAUAGGAAUAAAAUUUUUGGGUAUUUUUUAUUCCUAGUAAUCUUUCAUAAUGCGAACCAAACGCAUCCUUACAGAAAACACUUUCCCCUACAAGUUGACUCUUUCUCCAUCAUUGCAUAUCCCACUCUCUUCUUAUAU
Molecule: long non-coding RNA, 809 nt
Filed under: Ananas comosus (pineapple)
Lineage: Eukaryota; Viridiplantae; Streptophyta; Magnoliopsida; Poales; Bromeliaceae
Description: long non-coding RNA (ACOM_LNC032004)
Source: RNAcentral